AUUGAACGCUGGCGGCAGGCCUAACACAUGCAAGUCGAACGAGUGGCGGACGGGUGAGUAAUGUCUGGGAAACUGCCUGAUGGAGGGGGAUAACUACUGGAAACGGUAGCUAAUACCGCAUACCAUCGGAUGUGCCCAGAUGGGAUUAGCUAGUAGGUGGGGUAAAGGCGCACCUAGGCGACGAUCCCUAGCUGGUCUGAGAGGAUGACCGUCCACACUGGAACUGAGACACGCUCCAGACUCCUACGGGGGGCAGCGGUGGGAAAUAUUGCACAAUGGGCGCACGCCUGAUGCACCCAUGCCGCGUGGAUGAAGAAGGCCUUCGGGUUGUAAAGUACUUUCAUCGGGGAGGCGUUACCCGCAGAAGAAGCACCGGCUAACUCCGUGCCAGCAGCCGCGGUAAUUC
This 406-nucleotide ribosomal RNA is filed under the name uncultured bacterium. RNAcentral describes it as "partial 16S ribosomal RNA". It matches the Rfam family "Bacterial small subunit ribosomal RNA", at positions 30 to 526 of the family's 1533-position model. The record is from RNAcentral.